GCGGGGUUACUGCGACAGAUCCCUUCGGGGUGACGUUGCUUUAACCUAGCGGCGGACGGGUGAGUAACGCGUGGGUAACCUACCCUAAAGCUCGGGAUAACAGUGGGAAACCGCUGCUAAUACCGGAUGACUUUAACCUAUGGCAUCAUGGGUUAAAGAAAGAUUUAUCGCUUUAGGAUGGGCCCGCGUCCCAUUAGCUAGUUGGUGAGGUAACGGCUCACCAAGGCGACGAUGGGUAGCCGGCCUGAGAGGGUGUACGGCCACACUGGGACUGAGACACGGCCCAGACUCCUACGGGAGGCAGCAGUAGGGAAUAUUGCGCAAUGGACGGAAGUCUGACGCAGCGACGCCGCGUGAGCGAUGAAGGCCUUCGGGUCGUAAAGCUCUGUCCUUGGGGAAGAAGGUCUUCGGACUUGACGGUACCCAAGAAGAAAGCCCCGGCUAACUACGUGCCAGCAGCCGCGGUAAUACGUAGGGGGCGAGCGUUGUCCGGAAUUACUGGGCGUAAAGGGUGCGUAGGCGGCCCUUUAAGUCAGAUGUGAAAGGCCACGGCUUAACCGUGGGAUUG
This 568-nucleotide ribosomal RNA is filed under the name uncultured bacterium. RNAcentral describes it as "bacterial SSU rRNA". It matches the Rfam family "Bacterial small subunit ribosomal RNA", at positions 57 to 623 of the family's 1533-position model. The record is from RNAcentral.